Molecule: long non-coding RNA, 3199 nt
Organism: Scatophagus argus
Lineage: Eukaryota; Metazoa; Chordata; Actinopteri; Scatophagidae
Exons: 3
Source: RefSeq, a predicted model, not a curated record
UAGCGCUACAAUAAUGGCCAUUGGACCUGUGUGCACACAAUUAAGGGGCAUAAAUCCAAUGCAUUGGUGGCCUAAUUGAAUACGUGAUUGACUUUGUGUUAACUUUGAUGGUUGUUGCGAACUGUGGAGCGACUGAAAACAUGGAAACCGGAAGCGGACGAAAAGUUAUAAUGACUGAAAAGGCGCUUGCUGAUAAGCUUUUAAGGUUGCAAGCGGAACGAAAGGCAAAGCUGAACAAAGGAUGUGCGAUCAAAGGAACGUGGCUCAAGUUUUAAAACGGAUUCUGAACAUCACUACGAUAUGCAUGACCGCCAGAAAAGCAUGGGAAAUUCACACCAACUUAAAGGUCAAAUGACAACUUCUCAAUUAAACAAGGAAAUCCGUCAACCCCAAAUCACUCAUCAACUCACUCAUCCUUGCAUAAAUCAAAUUGCAUCUGAGGACAUACUUACCGUCAUGCACAGACAAAAUGAAAUAACAGCUGCUUUGGUGCAACAGCAAACUGCAAGAUCUCUGCCGCCGAGAGACAUUCCUAUAUUCGAAGGGAACCCUUUGCAAUACAGAGCAUUCAUAAAAGCAUUCGAGCAAGGAGUGGAGAAUAAAGCAGAAGGAGCAGAUUGUCUUUUCUAUCUGGAGCAAUUUACCAGAGGACAGCCACAACAACUGGUACGUAGCUGCCAGCACUUGGCUCCUGAUCGCGGCUAUGCAGUGGCUAAGGACCUGCUGCAGGAGCAUUUUGGAAAUCAAUAUAAAAUUGCUAAUGCUUAUAUGGAAAAGGUUCUAGCCUGGCAGUCCAUAAAGGGUGAAGAUGUUAAAGCACUCCAAGCAUAUUCUUUGUUUUUGCGUGGCUGUUGUAAUGUAAUGGAGGAAUUGGAGUAUAUGCAAAAGUUGGAUAUGCCUGCAAAUAUGAGAGCCAUUCUUGCAAAGCUGCCAUACAAGUUGAGGGAGCAAUGGAGAUCCAUUGCUUAUGGAAUCAUGGAACAGACACAGCAGAGAGCUCGCUUUACUGACUUGGUUGUAUUUGUGGAGCGUCAUGUUAAAAUUCUUUCUGAUCCUCUGUUCGGUGACAUCCAAGAUCACCCGGUUUAAGUCUUAUCCUGGAAACAGGGUGAAAGGAAAUAUUGUUGCCACCACUGUAACAUACGACCUCAUCAGAAAGGGGGGAGGAGCCACCAGCAGAGCUUGGAAAGUCAGUUAAAGCAGGAUGCCUUUGCUGUUCAUACAGUCACACAUUGGAGGAGUGUAAACCGUUUAAUGAGAAAAGACACAAGGAGAAAAUUCAACUUCUGAAGGAAAAGGGAGUUUGCUUUGCAUGCUUAUGUGAUGGUCACAUGAGUCGGGAAUGCGAGAGGCGCUUGACAUGCAAAGUCUGUGGUCAAACUCAUCCCACUGUGCUGCACAUCAGUAGUCAACCACCUGCUCCAGAGCAAAAGAAACAACCAGCUUCACAACAGCUAAAGGGCCCACUCGGUAAACAAUCAGCUUCUUUCCAAACAUGUGGGCAUACAGGGGCCGGUAAGGAUGGCUGUGUUCUCCCAAUUCUUCCUGUAAGAGUGAAGUCUGUGAAAGGAUGUGACAUUAUACAAACAUAUGCAUUUCUGGACCCUGGUAGCUCGGCCACGUUCUGCUCCGAAGAUCUAAUGCAGAGGCUGAAUAUUACAGGCAGAAGAACCAGUGUUUUGUUGAACACAAUGGGCCAGGAGACUGUUGUUCCAUCUUAUUCCAUCACUGGUUUGGAGGUGGCUGGAUUAGAGGGCAAUGACUUUUAUAGUCUCCCAGAGGUCUUGAGCCAACGGAAAAUGCCAGUCACCACUAAUAAUAUAGUAACAACUGAGGAACUGGAUAAAUGGUCUUACUUGUCGGACGUUCACAUCCCACACAUAAAGGCAAAUGUUGAUUUGUUGAUAGGAACCAACGCUCCCAAAUUGCUGGAACCAUGGGAGGUCAUCAACAGCCACGGGAAUGGCCCGUACGCUAUUAAAACUGUGUUGGGAUGGGUAGUUAAUGGUCCACUGAGUGGAAGCAGUGGUGCCUAUACUGACCUCACACUCAUAAAUGGCCCUUUUGUUGUGUUUUUCAGAGCUUAAUGAAUGAGUGAGAUGAAUGUUUAAUUGUUAAGGCCGCAUGUCAGAAGUUCAAGUACAUAAACCGUUUUAUGGUAAAUGUUUUAAUCCACACUAAGGUGUACUGUACUGUGCACUUAAUAAGUUGAAGUUCUUUGGUGCCAAAUGCUGUGGUCAGGAGUCCCUGUAUUUUAUUUUAAUGUCACAUGUUUUAAGAGUAUAAUGUAUAAUGUAAUAUGUUUUUUUGUUUUCUUUGCUUCACAACUCUUGCUUGGUGGGCAGUUAAAUUGAGAACAACAUGGCACCUUCACAUCAACAGAUGGAACAGCAGAUCCCACUCAUGGCUCUUGGAAAUGGAUCAUCCUUUCAUGCGGUCUGGUACUUCUGUUCUUCAUUCCUCUCACUGUUUGGUUAGUUCGUCACUACAGGUACCAGAUGUUUUGCACUCGUAGUUGCUGGCCAGUUUCCAAAGAAGCCCUGCCGGCCAUGGAGCUUCCUGCAACCAAGCAGGAUGCAACGGAAGUGCAGUGGGAUUUAUCCUGGAUGGAAAUGUCAAAUCUGCUGGAUAAGCAGUUAUAUCCUGGCACUUAAAGGGUAACUCUUACAUGCAGUAUACAGGAACCACUAAGUGGAGUGCCAUAUGAGAUGCUUCAGAGUGCUGCUAUGGAUGUAUGAACAAUUUGUAGCAAAUGAAGAUCACAGAAAGGCCCCAGUGUGUGCCACAAGGGUCUGUUACUGGUAAAUUUAUCUAAACUACCUGCCUAUGAUUUGUAUUUGUAUUUUCUCUGUUCACUGAUACAAGACUUUUGUACACUAAUACAAAAUGCUAAUACAGAGAUGAUGUAAACUUUGAAAUGGUUAGCUGAGCAAACUUACUAAUAAUAUUAAAAAGACAAGCUUUGUAAUUUACAGAAAAUACUCCAAAGACUGAACAAAUAUUACAUAUUUAUAAAUAGUCUCUUUUAUGAGUUAUAAUAUUAUAUACUGUAUAUUAACUGUUGUUAAUUGUUAGGGGUGCUACUAACUCCUUAACAAGAUACUUUAAAUUCAGAAAAAUCAUAUCACUGACAUAAUUUCAAGUAACUAUGACUGUCAAGUGUUUAGGAAAUAUAAUAAAUAAGCAUAUGUUUUUAUGU